Molecule: long non-coding RNA, 2172 nt
Organism: Prunus persica (peach)
Lineage: Eukaryota; Viridiplantae; Streptophyta; Magnoliopsida; Rosales; Rosaceae
Exons: 3
Source: RefSeq, a predicted model, not a curated record
AAACAAAGAAAAGCCGUGUUCUUUGCGAAAGGUUUCUUAUUUCCGUUUUUGGGUCAUUCUUUGCAAAAGGUUUCUUAUUUCCGUUUUUGGGUCAUACUCAUACGUACUGUUCUUUGCAAAGAGCUUCAACUGCUCAGUUUUGGUGAUUUUGCACAGCAAGCAAGCGCUAAUCCAAUAAUGGCUGAUAUGCAAUUCUUCUACCUCACAUGACCAUCAUCUUCCUGCUCUGUCCCAAUCCCAAGCAAAUUGGCAUCCACAACUUCAUCUAUCAUUGCAUCUGGUAAUAGUGAGUUUGCAAUCCAUUGCUUUAAAUUCAUUUCCCCAACAAACAUCUCAUCUCUGGCUUCCUUCUUGUGAAUGUUUCCAUCACUACAAUUCCAAAACUGUACACAUCCCCUCUUGUUGAAACCAUUCCUUCCAAUCCAUACUCUGCAUUACGAAAAAUCGGCCUAGGCGGCCUGGGCGGGUGGCACUAGGCCGGUCUGGGCGGUGCUAGGAGGGUCUAGGCGGCGCUAGGCGGAUCUGGGUGCCAGGCUCAUGUUUAGCAAGUUUGAAUUUGAUGGGAAACUGAAUCCUACUUUUGUGGAACAGGCGUUUAAGCUCCCAUUAUCAAGCAUACGAGCAUAUCUAAAAGAGCCUAUUGCUCCCAGGUUCGUACACUUAGGUUCUGCAGGAGUUACCCUAGACCUGACAGGCCUGGACUUGAUCUAAGUAAACAACCUCCUGCUGUUCGCUUAAACAAGGAAUUGGAUUUUAUACUGACAUUCAAGUCGAAGGUUUCAUACUAAUUCAAUGCAAGCUGUUUGAUAUUUUUAUAUAUAAUCAGUGUAUCAAAAUACCACUUCCUAGCUCUUUUCUUUUAUUUUUCUUUUUCUGGGUCAGAUUUAGCUCUUUCGAUUUUGUACAUUGAUAAGUUUUGGAGCAAGGGGGGGAUUUAGUACGGGAAAGUGGAGUACCAUAUACAAUUGUGAGGCCUUGUGCAUUAACUGAGGAGCCUGCCGGGCAGAUAUCCUCCCCGAACUGCACUUGUUAUGUCUACCAAGAAAUCAGGCUCUGUUAUGAUGUUGUUAAAAAGAUGAGACUUACAGGUAUGUAGGAAUUUCAUGACCCUGGUAGCCAUCAAAAAUUGCAAGUAGUUCUACCUCGUACUGACAACAUAGUCUUCCAUAAAAUGCCCGAGGUCUCCCUUUACCAAGUGGGAGCCAUGUGUUACACUUAGAUUAUAUGAGUCAUGUGUUCAGUAAGGUGCUUUGCUGCUUUAUAGGCAUUCUUUAGUUUUCUUAUGGAAUCUACAACUUGUUGAUUGGACAUAACCAUCCAUAUUCCAUGACUUGUUAACCCAAGAAACUCUAUAUCAUCAUCUAUCAUCUCCACCACCAAAUAAGGUUAUGAAGUUAUAUAUAUUUUGAACAUCUUGGCACCAAAUGCCCUAUGUUGUCUUACUAUCGCUUCUCUUCUCUAAUGAUUGUCUUUCUAUUCUAUUGUUCAAGCUAUGAUCAACAGAUAAUUGUUUAGCCAUUCCAUUCUUGCAACAGAUAACGGCCCGAGAGUUCCCAACAUUAGCUACUACCAACUUCCGCUGGCCACGACGGUUCACUACUAUUUGCUGUAACUGCAGUUGAAGAUGAUAAAUCCUUAAAACCAUGGUUUGAAUUUGAUUGCUCUAGAAUGAAGGUAUCGGUUAUAAGAUAUGCUCCAAUCACUGCGCUUGUCAUGCUGAAGAAGAAAUCAGGCACUGUCAUGAUAUUAUUAAAUAGAUGAGAUUGCAAGUAUGCAGGAAUUUCAUGGCACUCAUAGCCGUCAAAUAUGGCAAAUAAUCCUAUCUCUUGCUCACCAAUCUUCCUAGUCUCUGCAACAACAUAGUCUUCCAUAGGAUGUUUGUGUUCUCCCUUUAUCAAGUGGAAGCCAUAUGAUACAGUUAUAUGAUCUAUGUCAUUUGAUAUUUUACUCUUUUCUGACCGGAACAUCUGACGAUGGACUUUUACUUAAUCCAACUCGAUUUCUUGAGUUGGUGCCGGAUCCCAUCUUUUUCUUUACCAAGUGGAGAAUUUCACUGCCAACUUUCAUGAAUGUUGUAAUAGCAGUUCUACUUUUAAUAUCUUCACUAGAAUUAGAAGCAAAUGAAGGGAAAAUUCGGUGAGGGUGUGGAGAGAAAUAAAGAGGGUUAUAACU